This 566-nucleotide ribosomal RNA is filed under the name Sugiyamaella sp. NRRL Y-17646. Its description in RNAcentral is "eukaryotic LSU rRNA". It matches the Rfam family "Eukaryotic large subunit ribosomal RNA", at positions 62 to 648 of the family's 3401-position model. Lineage: Eukaryota; Fungi; Ascomycota; Dipodascomycetes; Dipodascales; Trichomonascaceae. RNAcentral also lists the same sequence under 1 other name. The record is from RNAcentral.
AAACCAACAGGGAUUGCCUUAGUAACGGCGAGUGAAGCGGCAAAAGCUCAAAUUUGAAAUCUGGCGUCUUUGGCGUCCGAGUUGUAAUUUGAAGAAGGUAUCUUUGAGGUUGGCCCUUGCAUAAGUUCCUUGGAACAGGACGUCAUAGAGGGUGAGAAUCCCGUUUAUGGUGAGGUGCCCAACUUCUUGUAAAGUGCUUUCGAAGAGUCGAGUUGUUUGGGAAUGCAGCUCUAAGUGGGUGGUAAAUUCCAUCUAAAGCUAAAUAUUGGCGAGAGACCGAUAGCGAACAAGUACAGUGAUGGAAAGAUGAAAAGAACUUUGAAAAGAGAGUGAAAAAGUACGUGAAAUUGUUGAAAGGGAAGGGCAUGAGAUCAGACUUGGUAUUCAGUGAUCAACUUUCUUUCGGGAUUGUGCACUCGCUGUUUACUGGGCCAAUAUCAGUUUUGGCGGUAGGAUAAUGGCAUUGGAAUGUGGCUCCUCGGAGUGUUAUAGCCUUUGUUGAUACUACCUGCUGGGACUGAGGACAGCGCUUUUGCUAGGAUAUUGGCGUAAUGAUCUUAUGCCAC